Molecule: long non-coding RNA, 1037 nt
Filed under: Equus caballus (horse)
Lineage: Eukaryota; Metazoa; Chordata; Mammalia; Perissodactyla; Equidae
Description: lncRNA (ENSECAG00000029103.3)
Source: RNAcentral
CACUGAACUUGGUCUUGGCUUCAGUUCCACCCAGAGACAAAGUCCGUUUCCAGGCCAAUUUCCAUAUGAAAGCAGCUGAGAUCUCUUUCCCCAUUCUGGAAUUCCAGGCAGCACCCAGGGCUCUGACUUCUCAGACUCAAGAGUUUUUGCCCAACUUUCCCCCCUCAUCCCAACUCACCCCUAAUCUCCUCCCACUCCAGUUUCUCUGGCCACAGGAUUUCCACUUCUCCCAGCACAGUGUUGUGGCCCUGAGAGAGCGUCUGUGAACUCAACUCCAGAACAACUCGCUUCACGUUUCUCUGAGGAUGACGGUGAGGCCCGAGCCCUGCAGUUCGGAGGAGGCCCCCUUGGACUCUGCAGUUUUGCAGCUGACCCGGGACUACUGUCUGGCAGGGGAGGGCAAAGGAAGAGAAGAAGCACUUUUCUGAUGGGACAUUCGAUGAUGCUUCUUAGUGGGCGUGGCGCUUCCAUUCAAGUCCCCCAUCUCAGUCAGAGCUGGGGACUUGCAGUUUGUCCUUGCCUGACAGGGAUUCGAAGGGCCAAAUUGUUUCUAGAGAAUAAAACGAAAGGAAGCCCUGCAGGGAACUUUCUAGAUGAUCUGCUCCAGCUCCCACAUCUUAUUGAAGAGUGAACCUCAAUUCUGAGAGGUGGAGAGACUUGCUAGAGUAACAUACGUGGUUAAUGGAGGAACCAAACCUAGGGUCCAGUUAAGAAAAAUCGCUUCUGUCACCACUUGGAGCUCUCUGGCAGGAAACACAUUUUUGUCUGGUGGUUGUGAAAUGAAUUGCCAACCGUCAGGUUGGAGGGAGAAGAGCUGGAGCAGGUACCUCAGCACCAAGAGGCCCAGGCAUGAUGAAUACUGGUAGCACUUCAACAGGAACAGAGAGAGAAUUCCAGAGGUGCUGCAAGACCCACAGGUAGAGAUGACUAUGCUCCACUGGAUGUGUGGCUCUGGGCUUCUGUUCUCUCCAUCUCAUUUGAAAAUAAAGAUUCAGGGCCCGGAACACCCAGCUUCUCAAGCAGCUUCUCACCUGCCA